RNAcentral lists this long non-coding RNA (1171 nucleotides) under Equus caballus (horse). RNAcentral describes it as "lncRNA (ENSECAG00000051091.1)". Lineage: Eukaryota; Metazoa; Chordata; Mammalia; Perissodactyla; Equidae. The record is from RNAcentral.
GGGACCUGAACCCACAAACCUUGGGCAGCUGAAGCGGAGCAUGCGAACUUAACCACUAUGACACUGGGCCAGGCCCCUGGAUUUGGCUCUUUUAAACAAGAGACUAAUUCAUACACCAGAAUACCAAUGGAUUAAUUUGUACUAGAAGAUUUAACUGCUGUGACUAACGUUAUCACCGCGCCCGCCAGCUGAAAUUCUCCUUCCUAUUAUCAAGAUACCUGGGACUCCAACUCAAUGAUCAGAAAGUUGCUUUCUGAGAAGUACCUUGCAGAGCAAAAUCAAGUUGAAUUCACCUAAGAAUUAUUUUCAUCUUUUUGUAUUCUCCCACACAGAUUAGCAAGAAGUCUUGAUUUACCAAUUGGCUGUGUUUCAAAUGUUGAUUUCAGAUUUUUUUGGUUAGAAUUUGUAACAUUUCCCCCCAUUAAUAAUAUUACUAAGGUGGUUAAAUUCCAGCUGUUCUAUAAAAGCUUUUUUCAGCUGUAAUGUGGAUAAAACAACGUACUUUUAGAAAAAUAGUGGGAAAUGGUAGCUGUCUUAAGACUAAAAUUAAACAAAACAAACAAAUUGAAUGAAGUGGUACAUGAAAUACUCAAACAUUCUCCCCUCUUCAAUUUCACUUGUGUUAAGCUCGCCCCAAUCUGCUUUCAACACUUUUUCUCCAUCCUCAUGGCACACUGGGUACAUCUAUAAAGCGGCAUUUAUUACACUGCACUGCAAUUAUCAACUUACCUUGCUGUCUUCUUUACUAGAAGAAUCUUUUGUAAACUAUGACUUGCUAACAGAGGUUUUGAGAUGUUUUCAAAAAAGUGUUUGGAGGAUUUAAUUGUGAGUAUUAUGCAAACUAAAAGGCCUCUAGAAGGCCAAUUCAAAGAUUCAUUCUUAGUAAGGAUUUCUAGGAAAAGAGAAUGAUUAUCUAAUCUUUGCUGGAAUAUGGAAAAUAAACGUUUCGUAACAGUCACCGAGUGAGAGUCAACUGGGAGGAUGGAUGCCUGGUUUCUCAGACUAAGUCUUAAGUCCAUUAAAUCUCAUGAGAAAAUUGCUUGUGUGUUUUAUCAGGAGGGCUAAUUUCUUCCCAGAGGGAGGUCUGGAAUAAUGCUACAAAAUAGGGUUCUGUCCCAUAUCAAGUUUUGAACAAUUUUUUUUUAAAGAGAUAAUGGGGUCUUGUAUAAAU